AUUGAACGCUGGCGGCAGGCCUAACACAUGCAAGUCGAGCGGAUGAAGGGAGCUUGCUCCUGGAUUCAGCGGCGGACGGGUGAGUAAUGCCUAGGAAUCUGCCUGGUAGUGGGGGAUAACGUCCGGAAACGGGCGCUAAUACCGCAUACGUCCUGAGGGAGAAAGUGGGGGAUCUUCGGACCUCACGCUAUCAGAUGAGCCUAGGUCGGAUUAGCUAGUUGGUGGGGUAAAGGCCUACCAAGGCGACGAUCCGUAACUGGUCUGAGAGGAUGAUCAGUCACACUGGAACUAAGACACGGUCCAGACUCCUACGGGAGGCAGCAGUGGGGAAUAUUGGACAAUGGGCGAAAGCCUGAUCCAGCCAUGCCGCGUGUGUGAAGAAGGUCUUCGGAUUGUAAAGCACUUUAAGUUGGGAGGAAGGGCAGUAAGUUAAUACCUUGCUGUUUUGACGUUACCAACAGAAUAAGCACCGGCUAACUUCGU
This 483-nucleotide ribosomal RNA is filed under the name uncultured bacterium. RNAcentral's name for it is "partial 16S ribosomal RNA". It matches the Rfam family "Bacterial small subunit ribosomal RNA", at positions 30 to 506 of the family's 1533-position model. The record is from RNAcentral.